CCUACGGGGUGCAGCAGUGGGGAAUAUUGCACAAUGGGGGAAACCCUGAUGCAGCGACGCCGCGUGAGUGAAGAAGUAUUUCGGUAUGUAAAGCUCUAUCAGCAGGGAAGAUAAUGACGGUACCUGACUAAGAAGCCCCGGCUAACUACGUGCCAGCAGCCGCGGUAAUACGUAGGGGGCAAGCGUUAGCCGGAUUUACUGGGUGUAAAGGGUGCGUAGGUGGGAGGGCAAGUCAGAUGUGAAAGCCCGGGGAUCAACCCCGGUACUGAAUUUGAAACUGUGCAGCUGGAGUGCAGGAGGGUUAAGCGGAAUGCCGAGUGUAGCGGUGAAAUGCGUAGAUAUUAGGAGGACAACCAGUGGCGAAGGCGGCUGACUGGACUGUAACUUACACUGAGGCACGAAAGCGUGGGGAGCAAACAGGAGUAGAUACCCUGGUAGUC
RNAcentral lists this ribosomal RNA (440 nucleotides) under uncultured bacterium. RNAcentral's name for it is "partial 16S ribosomal RNA". It matches the Rfam family "Bacterial small subunit ribosomal RNA", at positions 338 to 795 of the family's 1533-position model. The record is from RNAcentral.